UUUGUUUUAGCGUUCCAGGCGGAUGAUCAUUCAUCAUGGCAGGGAUACAAGGCAGCAAGCAUCAAGCACCGUAGUAGGAGCUGCAAACGGAGCGACCAGAACUCUACUGCACAUACAGGAGCAAAGAGCCUACACUGGCGCCAACUGGGGACCAGAUGUCAAAUACAUGAGUCUGUGCGGGACAUUUCUCACGCAGCCAACAACACCACAUCUACAGCAGCAAUCACACAAAUGGUAUCACAUCUCUACACACACACGGAUCACGUACUUGGAAGCUUUACUGCCAGCUCAUCCACACUCAGGACUGUCUUCCCGGUGAGUGUAUCACCGGCUGGAGUUGUGUUUUUCUGACAAAUGGGGAUCCCUGCCACUGGGUAAUGGCUUGUUUUGUCUCCUGGAUUAUGAAGUCUGUGUGGGAUUGGUAGUCUCUCUCCAGAGCGUUUUAAUCAGUGCUCAGUGUAACUUUUAACUU
Mus musculus (house mouse) is the source of this 472-nucleotide long non-coding RNA. RefSeq annotates it as predicted gene, 46068. The record is from RefSeq and is a predicted model, not a curated record. The transcript is spliced from 3 exons. NCBI's taxonomy places the organism in Eukaryota, Metazoa, Chordata, Mammalia, Rodentia, Muridae.